Molecule: ribosomal RNA, 253 nt
Filed under: uncultured bacterium
Lineage: Bacteria
Description: partial 16S ribosomal RNA
Rfam family: Bacterial small subunit ribosomal RNA
Source: RNAcentral
UACGUAGGGGGCAAGCGUUGUCCGGAAUCAUUGGGCGUAAAGAGCGUGUAGGCGGCUUGACAAGUCCGCUGUGAAAGUCCAGGGCUCAACCCUGGAAUGCCGGUGGAAACUGUCGAGCUAGAGUCCGGAAGAGGCGAGUGGAACUCCUGGUGUAGCGGUGAAAUGCGCAGAUAUCAGGAAGAACACCAAUGGCGAAGGCAGCUCGCUGGGACGUGACUGACGCUGAGACGCGAAAGCGUGGGGAGCAAACAGG